RNAcentral lists this transfer RNA (84 nucleotides) under Gimesia algae. Its description in RNAcentral is "Planctomycetes bacterium Pan161 tRNA-Ser". It matches the Rfam family "tRNA". From Rfam's summary of the family: Transfer RNA (tRNA) molecules are approximately 80 nucleotides in length. Their secondary structure includes four short double-helical elements and three loops (D, anti-codon, and T loops). The record is from RNAcentral. Lineage: Bacteria; Pseudomonadati; Planctomycetota; Planctomycetia; Planctomycetales; Planctomycetaceae.
GGCCAAGUGGCGAAACUGGAAGACGCGCGACUCUCAGAAAGUCGUUCCCACAGGGAUUGCGAGUUCGAAUCUCGCCUUGGCAAC